RNAcentral lists this ribosomal RNA (421 nucleotides) under Streptomyces netropsis. RNAcentral describes it as "bacterial SSU rRNA". It matches the Rfam family "Bacterial small subunit ribosomal RNA", at positions 353 to 796 of the family's 1533-position model. Lineage: Bacteria; Bacillati; Actinomycetota; Actinomycetes; Kitasatosporales; Streptomycetaceae. The record is from RNAcentral.
AGGCGGGACUGGUCGUCGCGUCACAGAUGCGCGAGCCGCGUGAAGAAUGACGGCCUUCGGGUUGUACCCUCUUUCAGCAGGGAAGAAGCGAGAGUGACGGUACCUGCAGAAGAAGCGCCGGCUAACUACGUGCCAGCAGCCGCGGUAAUACGUAGGGCGCAAGCGUUGUCCGGAAUUAUUGGACGUAAAGAGCUCGUAGGCGGCUUGUUGCGUCGGAUGUGAAAGCCCGGGGCUUAACCCCGGGUCUGCAUUCGAUACGGGCAGGCUAAAGUGUGGUAGGGGAGAUCGGAAUUCCUGGUGUAUUGGUGAAAUGCCCAGAUAUCAGGAGGAACACCGGUGGCGAAGGCGGAUCUCUGGGCCAUUACUGACGCUGAGGAGCGAAAGCGUGGGGAGCGAACAGGAUUAGAUACCCUGGUAGUCA